Molecule: ribosomal RNA, 253 nt
Filed under: uncultured bacterium
Lineage: Bacteria
Description: partial 16S ribosomal RNA
Rfam family: Bacterial small subunit ribosomal RNA
Source: RNAcentral
UACAGAGGUGGCAAACGUUGUCCGGAUUUAUUGGGUGUAAAGGGCAUGUAGGUGGCUUUGUAAGUCAAAGGUGAAAUGGCCCGGCUCAACCAGGUCAUUGCCUUUGAAACUGCUGAGCUUGAGUUCGGAAGAGGAAAGCGGAAUUCCCAGUGUAGCGGUGAAAUGCGUAGAUAUUGGGAGGAACACCGGUGGCGAAGGCGGCUUUCUGGUCCGAAACUGACACUGAGAUGCGAAAGCCAGGGGAGCAAACGGG